This 55-nucleotide transfer RNA is filed under the name Aleuroglyphus ovatus (brown legged grain mite). Its description in RNAcentral is "tRNA-Asn". Lineage: Eukaryota; Metazoa; Arthropoda; Arachnida; Sarcoptiformes; Acaridae. The record is from RNAcentral.
CUAACUUUAGUUAUAUAAUAAUAUCCCUUUGUUAAUGGGAAGGAUACUUGUUGGC